GCGAAUGGUUAUUAGGCGCAGUUUUUUGGCUCUGCGGUUCCAUUUAGACGGGAUACAUAUAUCCAUGAGAAGCAAAAGACAUGAGACAUGUAGUCAACCAAAACAAGUGGAGUGCAUGCAAAAAUAGCGAGGCAUCUAAAGCAUCAGUCGUGUGCUUUUUUCAGUUACCACCACGUGAUUGAACUAAUGAGGAUGAAGAAGUUCAAUUAUGUGGAGCAUCUAAGAUUUUUCAAGGACCAGCAACACAUUGGUUCUGAACCAGGAUAGACAGUUUAUCGAAAGACCGUACCAGGAAUGGUUCAGUUUUUUUAUUCUGUCUUUAUCUAAAAUUUAUACAUUUUUAAAUCUCACGGUUCAAUUUAAGUCAUUAA
Molecule: long non-coding RNA, 371 nt
Organism: Raphanus sativus (radish)
Lineage: Eukaryota; Viridiplantae; Streptophyta; Magnoliopsida; Brassicales; Brassicaceae
Exons: 3
Source: RefSeq, a predicted model, not a curated record